AUUGAACGCUGGCGGCAUGCCUUACACAUGCAAGUCGAACGGUAACAGGUCUUCGGAUGCUGACGAGUGGCGAACGGGUGAGUAAUACAUCGGAACGUGCCCGAUCGUGGGGGAUAACGAAGCGAAAGCUUUGCUAAUACCGCAUACGAUCUACGGAUGAAAGCGGGGGAUCUUCGGACCUCGCGCGGACGGAGCGGCCGAUGGCAGAUUAGGUAGUUGGUGGGAUAAAAGCUUACCAAGCCGACGAUCUGUAGCUGGUCUGAGAGGAUGAUCAGCCACACUGGGACUGAGACACGGCCCAGACUCCUACGGGAGGCAGCAGUGGGGAAUUUUGGACAAUGGGCGCAAGCCUGAUCCAGCCAUGCCGCGUGCAGGAUGAAGGCCUUCGGGUUGUAAACUGCUUUUGUACGGAACGAAAAGGUGCCUUCUAAUAAAGGGCGCUCAUGACGGUACCGGAAGAAUAAGCACCGGCUAACUACGUG
Molecule: ribosomal RNA, 482 nt
Filed under: uncultured bacterium
Lineage: Bacteria
Description: partial 16S ribosomal RNA
Rfam family: Bacterial small subunit ribosomal RNA
Source: RNAcentral